UCCCUCAGUGGCUCCUGGAUCAUCAAGUUCUGCCUUCUCUUCAAUGGGCUUCAGAGACCCACAGAGACACAUUCAUUUUCCUCAGGCUAUGCCGGCAGCCUAAGGACACCUAGAAAGAGCCCAUGUCACUCAGUGUAGAGUUUUCAGGGUGGGGCAUGGACUAAGUGGGGUCUGCCCUCCAGAUGUGACCACAACUAUAGCCUGGACCCCAGCUUUGCCAGGCAUUGGCUGGGCUGCCCUGGGCAAGUCACUACCCAUCUUUGGGGUUCUGCCUUCAGGAAAUGGAGCCUGGGCUUGGGAUUCUGGAUUCACCUUAUGAAACAGCUCACUGAACUGCUCUCAACCUCUCUCUGCCUAAGAAGGAUGCAGGGCAGAUGCUGCCAGAGAGAACUGUGACUUCCCCAACACCGUUCUGCAAAGAUGGAGAACCCACAUUUGGUCCCCUGGACAGCUCUGAAGGAGCUAGGCAUCCCCGGGUUAAGGUCACCAGACAGGGACCAUACAGCCAUAAGCUGUGUCCUCUAGAGAUGGCACAGGCUUUCCUAAAGCGAGACACGGCCCAGCCUGGAGAACAGGAGGAGAGUGGGGGAAGACACAGGCCUCACACAUGUUCCUCCAGCAUGGAGGGCCAGCUGGAACACACAUUCCCCUGAGCACAAGGCUCCAGGAAAGAGCAGGGAACAAACAGCCUCGCCCCUCGGACCUCAAUGCCAGCAAGGACCCAGGAAACAGAUAUCCAAUCCCCAAGAGCAAUCUCGCUCACCUGUGUGCAGAGAGGCGGCCAAGGAGGGAAGCCCUGGCCAGGGACUGGAGCUAGCUAGGGCCCAGAGCUCUAGAGGAGCGUAGUGGAAGGGGGGAAUCGGUGUUCCUGACAGAAAAGCCAGGAACUGACUGAGCCCUGGGGCCAGAGCUCAGAGGGGCUGGGGCCCUUAGGAGAUUCAGCCACACCGGCCAGGUGAGAGGGUCAAGGGCAUCUCAAACAAGAAGGGCUCUGACACCAUUUGGCCAGCACCAGGGAGCUGUAGAGGGGUUCAGCAAGGAUGCCGAGUGCAAGGAUGCUGUGUGCAAACCCGCU
This 1075-nucleotide long non-coding RNA is filed under the name Cricetulus griseus (Chinese hamster). Its description in RNAcentral is "lncRNA (ENSCGRG00000026575.1)". The record is from RNAcentral. Lineage: Eukaryota; Metazoa; Chordata; Mammalia; Rodentia; Cricetidae.